This 1764-nucleotide long non-coding RNA is filed under the name Mytilus galloprovincialis (Mediterranean mussel). Lineage: Eukaryota; Metazoa; Mollusca; Bivalvia; Mytilida; Mytilidae. The record is from RNAcentral.
UUUCUGAUUUUCUUUAAUCAAUUAUUAUGCAGUUUUGUUUUCGCUUUAUUUAUUCAAAGUUGAUCAUUAUUUUUUAUCAGUUGUAUCUGACGAGAAAGCAGCUCUCUAAAUUUGGUUUAUAUCAAUUUUCUUAAUGUCAAGCGGUGAUCACAUUUUGGAAUUGACAUUCUUUAAAUAUAGUUAAACAUUGAAAUAUACUAUAUAAGUAUACAAAUCUGCUCACUUUUUGUCAUUUUAGUUCACAUAUAUACAUUAAUGUGAGCAAUUGUCAUUUUACGAUGACUUCUUUAUCCUAAAAUAAACUUCUUUUAAGAAAGGUAAUCUCAGUUGUGAAAUUGAAAGAAUUUAUUAGUAUGAUAAAGAAGACAAAUCUUGUCUAUUUGUAAACAAUUUUCAUACAUGUACAUAUGAAACUAAAUGCUUACAUGUAAUGUUGGCAACAAUCAGUUAUUUAUCACAUAAUUUUAAAUACUAAUAUUUCUGAAGCUUUCUUUAAUUUUCUCUUUUACAGCAGUAAAAGGAGUUUUCAUAGUUGAGUUUCACCUUUGCAUGUUUUCCAUAUGACUUCCUGUCUUCUGUUAUCAUUAAAAGGAUCACAUGGUAGUUAUUUCGUUUUGUAGGUAUCAGCUGAUUUGAUGUAAAAAGCAAACUAUGUCCUCUUUACAUGUUUUCAAUUUAAGCUCAAAAAGUUUGCACAUUAAAAUAGUUAAAAUACCAAUAUGUGAACAUCAUUCAUGCUAAUGGUCUUUAUUCCUUAUAUACUCUUUGCAAUAGAUGUUUUGACAUUUAUGUAGGAAUGCAAAGCUGAAAAGUAUGCAAGAAUUUUAAACUAUGGAUAAGAAAUCAGUUAUAUGAAGGUGAUUUGUAACAAAUCUUCUGUCCAUGACAUUGAUUUCAAUAAUUUUGAUGUUAUGGUGGUAACCAUUGCUUUCAUGAAAUUAUAACACAUUUGUGACUUGUUUGAUACUUAUUAAUAUAUUUAUCAAGUAUUGAAAUUUGUAGGCAUAAUAGAUAUUACACCAUUAAGAAUAUAAGACCAGAAGGUUGAAGGUAACUUUAUUACUGAAAAUUCAGAAAUUAGUGUGUACAAUUAUUAUUUGAUUUUUGGAGAAAAGACGAAAAUGGGAGAUAAAUUAUUGUGGUUUCUCUAAAAUCUGCAUACAGUUUUAUGUAUCAGAAUUGGAGUUCUAAUUAUUGCAAUACUCAACCAGUCACGUUUUCUGCAUAACCAAAUUUUAACUCUUAAUGAUUUCUGAAUUAAAAGUAUUAUUGUACUUAAUUCCCAAAAAGAUAUACUAUUUGUACCCUAAGAGUGCAUGGUCAUGAUUUACCUUGUAGGAUAAAUAUUUACUUUAUUCAAAUUUCAAUUGCUGCUGAUCAUGCCAACAAGCUGCUUCUACUAAAACAUUUUCAUAAUUUUGUUCACACAUCAAAACAUUCAUUUGCAUAUUAUAAUGAUCAUUAUGUCUCUCAUUUUUAUUUUUACAUGAAUUGCUGUGCACUUCUGAAUGAUGAACAUGGUAUAUUUGUUAAUUUUGUUAUUUUAAGUUAUAUUCACAAUAAAUGAAAAAUACCACCAAGAUCUGCAAACCCAAAACCAUUUGUAAAAAGAUAUAUCUUCAAGAUUUAUAUGUCGUAUUUAACUACAUAUUUGUUAAUUAAAUAUAAUAAUUUUUAUGUCAGAUCACUAAAGUAUUAUGUUGACAUUAUGAUACUUCCAUGGUCAGAAUAUUGUAUAUUUUAAACCACCUUGUUAUGUGUGAU